Molecule: ribosomal RNA, 253 nt
Filed under: uncultured bacterium
Lineage: Bacteria
Description: partial 16S ribosomal RNA
Rfam family: Bacterial small subunit ribosomal RNA
Source: RNAcentral
UACGGAGGGUGCAAGCGUUAUCCGGAUUCACUGGGUUUAAAGGGUGCGUAGGUGGGCAGUUAAGUCAGUGGUGAAAUCUCCGGGCUCAACCCGGAAACUGCCAUUGAUACUAUCUGUCUUGAAUAUCGUGGAGGUAAGCGGAAUAUGUCAUGUAGCGGUGAAAUGCUUAGAUAUGACAUAGAACACCAAUUGCGAAGGCAGCUUACUACCUGAAUACUGACACUGAGGCACGAAAGCGUGGGGAUCAAACAGG